UACGGAAGGCAGCAGUGGGGAAUAUUGCACAAUGGGCGAAAGCCUGAUGCAGCUAUGCCGCGUGUAUGAAGAAGGCCUUAGGGUUGUAAAGUACUUUCAUCGGGGAGGAAAAAACAAACUAAUAAUUUUAUUUCUUGACGUUACCCGAAAAAGAAGCACCGGCUAACUCCGUGCCAGCAGCCGCGGUAAUACGGAGGGUGCUAGCGUUAAUCAGAAUUACUGGGCGUAAAGAGCACGUAGGUGGUUUUUUUAAGUUCAGAUGUGAAAUCCCUGGGCUUAACCUAGGAACUGCAUUUUGAAACUGAAAUACUAGAGUAUCGUAGAGGGAGGUAGAAUUCUAGGUGUAGCGGUGAAAUGCGUAGAUAUCUGGAGGAAUACCUGUGGCGAAAGCGGCCUCCUAAACGAAUACUGACACUGAGGUGCGAAAGCGUGGGGAGCAAACAGGGAUUAGAUCC
RNAcentral lists this ribosomal RNA (455 nucleotides) under uncultured bacterium. RNAcentral describes it as "bacterial SSU rRNA". It matches the Rfam family "Bacterial small subunit ribosomal RNA", at positions 340 to 785 of the family's 1533-position model. The record is from RNAcentral.